UUGACCUCGGAUCAGAGGGAUACCCGCUGAACUUAAA
This 37-nucleotide ribosomal RNA is filed under the name Aspergillus niger. Its description in RNAcentral is "partial 28S ribosomal RNA". Lineage: Eukaryota; Fungi; Ascomycota; Eurotiomycetes; Eurotiales; Aspergillaceae. The record is from RNAcentral.